This 465-nucleotide ribosomal RNA is filed under the name Vreelandella stevensii. RNAcentral describes it as "partial 16S ribosomal RNA". It matches the Rfam family "Bacterial small subunit ribosomal RNA", at positions 338 to 795 of the family's 1533-position model. The record is from RNAcentral. Lineage: Bacteria; Pseudomonadati; Pseudomonadota; Gammaproteobacteria; Oceanospirillales; Halomonadaceae.
CCUACGGGGCGCUGCAGUGGGGAAUAUUGGACAAUGGGCGAAAGCCUGAUCCAGCCAUGCCGCGUGUGUGAAGAAGGCCUUCGGGUUGUAAAGCACUUUCAGUGGGGAAGAAAGCCUUAGGGCUAAUACCCUCGAGGAAGGACAUCACCCACAGAAGAAGCACCGGCUAACUCCGUGCCAGCAGCCGCGGUAAUACGGAGGGUGCGAGCGUUAAUCGGAAUUACUGGGCGUAAAGCGCGCGUAGGCGGUCUGAUAAGCCGGUUGUGAAAGCCCCGGGCUCAACCUGGGAACGGCAUCCGGAACUGUCAGGCUAGAGUGCAGGAGAGGAAGGUAGAAUUCCCGGUGUAGCGGUGAAAUGCGUAGAGAUCGGGAGGAAUACCAGUGGCGAAGGCGGCCUUCUGGACUGACACUGACGCUGAGGUGCGAAAGCGUGGGUAGCAAACAGGAUUAGAUACCCUAGUAGUC